Molecule: transfer RNA, 71 nt
Filed under: Bos indicus x Bos taurus (hybrid cattle)
Lineage: Eukaryota; Metazoa; Chordata; Mammalia; Artiodactyla; Bovidae
Rfam family: tRNA
About the family: Transfer RNA (tRNA) molecules are approximately 80 nucleotides in length.
Source: Rfam by way of RNAcentral
UCCCUGGUGGUACAGUGGUAAGACUCUGUGUUCUAAUGCAGGAGGCCUGGGUUCAAUCCCCGGUCAGGGAA